AUGAAAUCGCAAAACAAAAACCAAAGAUUACCUAUCGGAAGAACUGUCAGGUGCUUCGCCGACCUCGCAUCAGGUACAAAUUAUGUAUGUUCUGUAACGGGAUCACGAGUAGUAUUAUCCGCAUGUAUUGUCUGUUAUGUAAUGGGAUCCACAAAGUUAUGUAUGUUACCAUCACCACUAUGA
Molecule: non-coding RNA, 183 nt
Organism: Vicia faba (fava bean)
Lineage: Eukaryota; Viridiplantae; Streptophyta; Magnoliopsida; Fabales; Fabaceae
Source: the annotation of a GenBank genome assembly